GCUGGGCAUGGUGGCGCAUGCCUGUAAUCCCAGCUACUCAGGAGGCUGAGGCAGGAGAAUUGCCUGAACCCAGGAGGUGGAGGUUGCAGUGAGCCGAGAUUGCGCCAUUGCACUCCAACCUGGGUAACAAGAGCAAAACUCUGUCUCAA
This is an unclassified non-coding RNA of Callithrix jacchus (white-tufted-ear marmoset), 149 nucleotides long. It matches the Rfam family "Metazoan signal recognition particle RNA". Rfam says of the family: The signal recognition particle (SRP) is a universally conserved ribonucleoprotein. It is involved in the co-translational targeting of proteins to membranes. The eukaryotic SRP consists of a 300-nucleotide 7S RNA and six proteins: SRPs 72, 68, 54, 19, 14, and 9. Lineage: Eukaryota; Metazoa; Chordata; Mammalia; Primates; Cebidae. The record is from Ensembl.